RNAcentral lists this ribosomal RNA (446 nucleotides) under uncultured bacterium. Its description in RNAcentral is "partial 16S ribosomal RNA". It matches the Rfam family "Bacterial small subunit ribosomal RNA", at positions 329 to 792 of the family's 1533-position model. The record is from RNAcentral.
GACCAGACUCCUACGGGAGGCAGCAGUGGGGGAUAUUGCACAAUGGGGGAAACCCUGAUGCAGCGACGCCGCGUGGGUGAAGAAGCGCCUCGGCGCGUAAAGCCCUGUCAGCAGGGAAGAAAAUGACGGUACCUGAAGAAGAAGCCCCGGCUAACUACGUGCCAGCAGCCGCGGUAAUACGUAGGGGGCAAGCGUUAUCCGGAUUUACUGGGUGUAAAGGGGGCGCAGACGGCAGCGCAAGCCAGGAGUGAAAGCCCGGGGCCCAACCCCGGGACUGCUCUUGGAACUGCGCGGCUGGAGUGCAGGAGGGGCAGGCGGAAUUCCUGGUGUAGCGGUGAAAUGCGUAGAUAUAUGGAGGAACACCGGUGGCGAAAGCGGCUCUCUGGCCUGUAACUGACACUGAGGAUCGAAAGCGUGGGGAGCAAACAGGAUUAGAUACCCCAGUA